Molecule: small RNA, 169 nt
Filed under: Periophthalmus magnuspinnatus
Lineage: Eukaryota; Metazoa; Chordata; Actinopteri; Gobiiformes; Gobiidae
Description: Six3os1 conserved region 5 (ENSPMGG00000005072.1)
Source: RNAcentral
UUCAUUAGAAGUAACGAGUUGACACAAGGUAAAUCUUAAUGUCGAGGCGCCUUUCUCUAGCGGCCUGGGGAGGAGCCCUCAUUAACUGUCGCUAACAACCCGUGUAAAUACUCUGAUUGGACAGCUCCGACACAAGCGCCCAGUCCUGCCAGGAAGUCCCCCUAAUGAG